UUAAUUGAAACCAAAAUAGAGGUUAGUUAUUGUUAAUAAUUUUAUUGAAUUUUAAAAUUCCAAUUAAU
RNAcentral lists this transfer RNA (68 nucleotides) under Microplitis manilae. RNAcentral describes it as "tRNA-Asn". Lineage: Eukaryota; Metazoa; Arthropoda; Insecta; Hymenoptera; Braconidae. The record is from RNAcentral.